UGGUGUGACGGUGAUCUUGCUGUCACAGCUAUCACCCUUUGAUGGACAGGUGGCUAGGUGUGUGGCCUCCCUCCUUCAUCAUUUUAGGUACAGGUUUAUCCCUCUGAAGAUGCAAAACGGUUUGAAGAGGACAAUCUUUCCCAAGCAAGGAAGACUGUUCUUCAACCAAGAGCAUAGGUAAGCUUAUAGACUCUUUGGUAAAGUGGACACAUCCUGCUAGGGGUGAGAAAAAUGGUUCCUAUCAUCUUUUCCA
Molecule: small RNA, 253 nt
Filed under: Tursiops truncatus (common bottlenose dolphin)
Lineage: Eukaryota; Metazoa; Chordata; Mammalia; Artiodactyla; Delphinidae
Description: 7SK RNA (ENSTTRG00000025033.1)
Source: RNAcentral